This 433-nucleotide ribosomal RNA is filed under the name uncultured bacterium. RNAcentral describes it as "partial 16S ribosomal RNA". It matches the Rfam family "Bacterial small subunit ribosomal RNA", at positions 29 to 507 of the family's 1533-position model. The record is from RNAcentral.
AACGAACGCUGGCGGCAUGCCUAACACAUGCAAGUCGAACGAGACCUUCGGGUCUAGUGGCGCACGGGUGCGUAACGCGUGGGAACCUGCCCUUAGGUUCGGAAUAACUCCCCGAAAGGGGUGCUAAUACCGGAUAAUGUCUUCGGACCAAAGAUUUAUCGCCUUUGGAUGGGCCCGCGUUGGAUUAGCUAGUUGGUAGGGUAAAAGCCUACCAAGGCGACGAUCCAUAGCUGGUCUGAGAGGAUGAUCAGCCACACUGGGACUGAGACACGGCCCAGACUCCUACGGGAGGCAGCAGUGGGGAAUAUUGGACAAUGGGCGAAAGCCUGAGCCAGCAAUGCCGCGUGAGUGAUGAAGGCCUUAGGGUUGUAAAGCUCUUUUAACCGGGAUGAUAAUGACAGUACCGGGAGAAUAAGCGCCGGCUAACUCCGUG